RNAcentral lists this ribosomal RNA (433 nucleotides) under uncultured bacterium. Its description in RNAcentral is "partial 16S ribosomal RNA". It matches the Rfam family "Bacterial small subunit ribosomal RNA", at positions 29 to 507 of the family's 1533-position model. The record is from RNAcentral.
AGCGAACGCUGGCGGCAGGCCUAACACAUGCAAGUCGAACGAACUCUUCGGAGUUAGUGGCGGAUGGGUGAGUAACACGUGGGAACGUGCCAAUUGGUUCGGAAUAACUCAGGGGAACUUGUGCUAAUACCGAAUGUGUCCUUCGGGGGAAAGAUUGAUCGAGAUUAGAGCUGCCCGAGUCUGUUUAGCUAGUUGGUGAGGUAACGUCUCACCAAGGCGACGAGCAGUAGCUGGGCUGAGAGGAUGACCAGCCACACUGGCACUGAGCCGCGGCGCAGACUCCUGCGCGAUGCGGCAAUGGGUAAUGCUGCCAAAUGGCGUGAAUGCAGACGGAGCCAUGCCUGGUGAAUGAUGAAGGUCUUAGGAUUGUAAAAUUCUUUCAUCGGUGAGGAUAUUGACGUUACCCGGAGAAGAAGCCCCGGCUAACUUCGUG